GCAGUAAAGAAGACCCAUUUUUACAAUAAGUGAUCCAACAUGGAAGCCUGUCGAGAAUAAGAUUAUUGGAAGCAGUGGAGGCAUACGGUUCUCUUCUGAGGCAGAGGAGGGCAUUCCCAUCCUCCUUAUGGAACUACCAAGUGUACUGUGGUACACAUGCCAUGUUUAUGGUGGCUUUGUGCAUGCUUAUGGAUUGUCAUGCUAUGCCAGCAUUUGAACAAUAGACCUCAAGAUAACUGAGGAACUUUUCCAUUUCUGUGUUAGUUAAGCCAGAUUGUGAAUAUUUUCACCAUUUUUUUCUGUUUAGUUUCAGCAUUGCAUUGUUUCGAAUGGUAUUUGUGUUGGUAUCUGCAUUUAGGAAGUUGUCGAGGUCAUGACCGACAAUUGGAAUGGGUCAAGAGGUGGGCCCAUCAUGGAUCGGCUGUGACCAAAAAGCUUGCGCUGUUUGAAUGAUCAUAACAGGUCAAUCAGAGGAUUUUCCCCUGCUGGAUGGCCAUCUGUUUUAAACUUCUGUUUGUCCAUUGGGAAAGUUGUCGAAAUAGGCCGAAUUUUAGCCUGUUGCCGAUGGUGGUGCAUUUCUCGACUGCUUCCUGUACUGUAUACAUGCCCCAAGAUUGCAAGGGUGCAAUUUUGUGUUCUUCCUGAGCAUCGUGACGAAAGAACCAAACCAAAGUUCCAUAACUUUGCAUCUGCCGUCUGCUAUCCUUAUUAUGAUUUUGGGUCAGUCCGUGGCAAUCUCUAAAGAAUUUGGGAUUUUCAUCUGAAUCCAAGCUUUGACGAAUGUCCUACUCCACCCCAUUGACUGAUUUCGGGUGUGGCAUUAGUUGAAGUUGGACUCCAUGGAGUUGAAAGACCACUUACAUUUUACUGUUAUGUUUGUAGCUUUAGUUUCAUCGGGAGCUUUUAAUCAUCCUCCGACACAGCAACUGAUGUCGGUAUUUUUGAAAUUAUGAUUUUCUGUAGGAGGGAUAGCUUCCAAUGAUGUGUAUCAAGAUCAGAUUCAGCAGUUCCUAACAGCAAUGAAGUUUCGACACCUUUGGGAAAGAACUGUAUAUUGUUAUAUUCAUCAAUAGUCACAGAGGAAAAUGAAAAAAAGAAAAGAAAAAAAAAAAGUCUUAAAUCGGGAAUUUGUAGUACCCCUAUUUUUUUUGGGCCAUGGCUACUCUACAGAUGCUGGGGAAUUGCAUUUAAGGGUACAGAUUUGGCACUGCGGGGUGGGCUGGCUGAGGCUGCUGUGUUCAGCCUAGGUUUUAGCUGCUGUUACUGGCUGUUCUUCUACCUAAUCUGUUGUUGUAUGUAACAUCAAUCACAUCUGCAGAAAUUUGAAGAAAAAUCUAAUUACAGUUUCUUUUUCUUCCUCAUCUUCACCACCUCUUCUGCUAAUUUAUUCAUUUGAUUGAGAAUAAAACCGGUUGUUUCACCUAUCUAUAUUAUCCUCGUUUUUAUUUUA
Molecule: long non-coding RNA, 1450 nt
Organism: Magnolia sinica
Lineage: Eukaryota; Viridiplantae; Streptophyta; Magnoliopsida; Magnoliales; Magnoliaceae
Exons: 2
Source: RefSeq, a predicted model, not a curated record